Molecule: ribosomal RNA, 496 nt
Filed under: uncultured bacterium
Lineage: Bacteria
Description: partial 16S ribosomal RNA
Rfam family: Bacterial small subunit ribosomal RNA
Source: RNAcentral
GACGAACGCUGGCGGCGUGCCUAAUACAUGCAAGUUGAGCGCUGAAGGGUGGUACUUGUACCAACUGGAUGAGCAGCGAACGGGUGAGUAACGCGUGGGGAAUCUGCCUUUGAGCGGGGGACAACAUUUGGAAACGAAUGCUAAUACCGCAUAAAAACUUUAAACACAAGUUUUAAGUUUGAAAGAUGCAAUUGCAUCACUCAAAGAUGAUCCCGCGUUGUAUUAGCUAGUUGGUUAGGGAAAGGCUCACCAAGGCAAUGAUACAUAGCCGACCUGAGAGGGGGAGGAGCCACACUGGAACUGAGAGACGGUCCAGACUCCGACGGGAGGCAGCAGUAGGGAAUCUUCCGAAAUGGGCGAAAGCCUGACGGAGCAACGCCGAGUGAGUGAUGAUGGUCGUCGGAGCGUAAAACGCUGUUAUUAGGGAAGAACAAAUGUGUAAGUAACUAUGCACGUCUUGACGGUACCUAAGCAGAAAGCCACGGCUAACUACGUG